This 90-nucleotide non-coding RNA is filed under the name Streptomyces uncialis. RNAcentral describes it as "sodF sRNA". It matches the Rfam family "sodF sRNA". From Rfam's summary of the family: Identified in Streptomyces coelicolor. It is produced from sodF mRNA by cleavage of about 90 nucleotides from its 3'UTR. However, it does not affect the function of sodF mRNA, but acts on another mRNA called sodN. s-SodF RNA has a sequence complimentary to sodN mRNA from the 5'-end up to the ribosome binding site. Lineage: Bacteria; Bacillati; Actinomycetota; Actinomycetes; Kitasatosporales; Streptomycetaceae. The record is from Rfam by way of RNAcentral.
AGAUCCUGCUCGUGAUCGUCUUCUCACCGAUCCACCGGGCAGGUGAAGUAACGGAAGGUCCCGCGAGGACAUGACUCGCGGGGCCUUCCG